Molecule: ribosomal RNA, 623 nt
Filed under: Janthinobacterium lividum
Lineage: Bacteria; Pseudomonadati; Pseudomonadota; Betaproteobacteria; Burkholderiales; Oxalobacteraceae
Description: bacterial SSU rRNA
Rfam family: Bacterial small subunit ribosomal RNA
Source: RNAcentral
UUGAACGCUGGCGGCAUGCCUUACACAUGCAAGUCCAACGGCAGCACGGAGCUUGCUCUGGUGGCGAGUGGCGAACGGGUGAGUAAUAUAUCGGAACGUACCCUAGAGUGGGGGAUAACGUAGCGAAAGUUACGCUAAUACCGCAUACGAUCUAAGGAUGAAAGUGGGGGAUCGCAAGACCUCAUGCUCGUGGAGCGGCCGAUAUCUGAUUAGCUAGUUGGUAGGGUAAAAGCCUACCAAGGCAUCGAUCAGUAGCUGGUCUGAGAGGACGACCAGCCACACUGGAACUGAGACACGGUCCAGACUCCUACGGGAGGCAGCAGUGGGGAAUUUUGGACAAUGGGCGAAAGCCUGAUCCAGCAAUGCCGCGUGAGUGAAGAAGGCCUUCGGGUUGUAAAGCUCUUUUGUCAGGGAAGAAACGGUGAGAGCUAAUAUCUCUUGCUAAUGACGGUACCUGAAGAAUAAGCACCGGCUAACUACGUGCCAGCAGCCGCGGUAAUACGUAGGGUGCAAGCGUUAAUCGGAAUUACUGGGCGUAAAGCGUGCGCAGGCGGUUUUGUAAGUCUGAUGUGAAAUCCCCGGGCUCACCUGGGAAUUGCAUUGGAGACUGCAAGGCUAGAAUC